RNAcentral lists this long non-coding RNA (2268 nucleotides) under Sus scrofa (pig). Its description in RNAcentral is "lncRNA (ENSSSCG00040065990.1)". The record is from RNAcentral. Lineage: Eukaryota; Metazoa; Chordata; Mammalia; Artiodactyla; Suidae.
CUCAAAGACUAGUGAUGGGGGAGUUUUUCAAAAUAUUUGAGAUUUUUCUCACCUAGAAAAUCCACUAAGAUGUUCAAUCUCUUCCAAGGCAAGUAAGACUUGAGAUAUUUAUUUCCCCUUUCAACUCGUUACAUUACUUUUGUUAAAGAAUCUUAAAGACUAUUAGAUAAAAAUGAGGAAGGCUCUGAAUGGUGACAGAUAAUGUGUGAGUAAUUUGGCAUGGUAAUAUGCAGAAAGAUUAUAUUAUUUUGGAAACGAGAGAAUGAAACUCUACUGAACUGCUGUGUGACAGUACAAGCAAAGAGCAGGCUAACAUCAGUAGCAAAACAGCAGAGGGUCACUCUUUCCUUGACCAAAAAUAUAAAUAUUUUGUGCUUUUAAUCAGCUUACAUAAUUAAGUAUUACCAGUCCUUGGAAAUCUGUGACAAAAAAAAAGGAGCUCUCACUCAGUUUUUGGAACUGAACAGUUUAGGAGAAAGAUAGAAAUACAUUAGCAACCCCCCAAUAGAUCAAAGUAUUGUCCCAACAAGUAAAUAAAUAAGUAAAUAAAUAAAUAAAUGCAAGCCUGGUUUAGUUCUGACUGUUUAGUUCUCCCUCAUAUUCAUUCUCUCCCGAUAGCCUCGUGGUCAGCCACAACUAAAACAGUUUGAAAUGGUUCACUCUCUUUGUCAUCAUUUGACCCUUGUUUCUGAACUCAGUCCCAGCGUUUUUCUUAUCACUCCAUGAGGCACCAUAAAUUAUAGUUCCAGGAACACUUUAUUGACCUGUUUGGAGAGACUGCUUAAGGGGAGUGAGUUUGGGGUUUUGGCACCAGCCACUUGCUAUGUUAUGACUCAGUAUACAGGAACUAUAAAAGACUGGUUCUCUCCCUACAGUUUUAAAAGGAACUCAAAGCUCAUGUUAGAGACCUUCCUGCUGCUGAAGAAUGGAGAGAUUUUCAAAAUGUAGGGAAAAAAAACAACAAAAAAAACAGCCUUUCAAAUAAAAGUUUGUUUCAAAUUUCUAGAAUAUGGGUUUUUCUUAUUGUUUGAAUAACUACUGCGAUCCAGUUGCCCUCGAACUAGAUACCACAUAAAUACAUUUUCAAAAGUUUUUUAAGAAUAGAAUUCAAGAAGAAAGUCAUCCCAAAGUAAAGCUACCAUCUUAUGUGUUCUUCCAGUCUCUAGUCUAUAUUCAUCAAAUAAUCCAUUUCUAGGAUAGCAACCCAGGACACCAGGAAAAUGAAUAUGAAUAGAAAUAAAGCAUAUGACUUAUAAUAAUAAAUCAUGUUAGCUACAUAUGCAUUUAACUGAUUUUAAAUUGUGAAAAUUCUUAAACAAUUUUUUGGGAAUUAGUCAUGUAGUGUAAGGAUUCUAAACAUGAUAAAUUCUACUCACAGUUCUGGUUAAAUUUUGUAUCAACUUUUAAAUCCCAGGUGAGGGAGAACAUUAAGUGGAGUGAAACCUACCCUGGUCCAUCCAGAAAUAAGCCAAUCAAAUAAAGGAAGACAGUCCAUAUGGCAUAGAAAAUGCCAUCUUUUUUUUUUCUUGUUUUUAGGGCUGCAUUCACGGCAUAUGGAGGUUCUCAGGCAAGGGGUCGAAUUGGAGCUACAGCUGCUGGCCUACACCACAGCACACAGCAACGCUGGAUCCUUAACCCACUGAGCAAGGCCAGGGAUCGAACCCACAACCUCACGGUUCCUAGUCAGAUUCGUUUCUGCUGCACCACAACGGGAACUCCCAUCCUUCAACUUUUAUUGACUGCUUUAAUAGUUCACAGGUGAAAAGUUUGUGUUAAAAUAUACUACUCUAGACAGAAAUAAAUGUUUGGUAAAUGUCUACAACUGUCAGCCAAUCACAGAGGGGAGACUAACAUUAGAACUGGGUUAUAACAGAUGGUUCACACAAUCACUGCCUCCUCUCCAUCCCAGGCAAACAGAAGAUGAAUAAAGUGAAAAUAAAUGUGCCUAGGAGUGUUUUUAUGAAUGAGGCUUGGAAGUGGAAGCUGUAUUUGUAUCAUUCCACUACCUAUAACUCAAUCACAUGGCUACACUUAACUGCAAGGAAGGCAGGUUGUGCACACAAAGUUGUAAUUUUUUUUUUUUUUUUUUAAAUAUGAAUCAGGAGUUCCCAUCGUGGCUCAGAGGAAAUGAAUCUGACUGGCAUCCACGAGGAUACAGGUUCCAUCACUGACCUCUCAGUGAGUUAAGGAUCUGGUAUUACCUUGAGCUGUGGUGUAGGUCGCAGACACAGCUUGGAUCUGAUGUUGUUGUGGCUGUGGUGUAGGCUG